Molecule: ribosomal RNA, 542 nt
Filed under: Aureobasidium sp. Cs/3/6
Lineage: Eukaryota; Fungi; Ascomycota; Dothideomycetes; Dothideales; Saccotheciaceae
Description: eukaryotic LSU rRNA
Rfam family: 5.8S ribosomal RNA (bases 171-324)
Source: RNAcentral
GGUGCUCAGCGCCCGACCUCCACCCUUUGUUGUUAAAACUACCUUGUUGCUUUGGCGGGACCGCUCGGUCUCGAGCCGCUGGGGAUUCGUCCCAGGCGAGCGCCCGCCAGAGUUAAACCAAACUCUUGUUAUUAAACCGGUCGUCUGAGUUAAAAUUUUGAAUAAAUCAAAACUUUCAACAACGGAUCUCUUGGUUCUCGCAUCGAUGAAGAACGCAGCGAAAUGCGAUAAGUAAUGUGAAUUGCAGAAUUCAGUGAAUCAUCGAAUCUUUGAACGCACAUUGCGCCCCUUGGUAUUCCGAGGGGCAUGCCUGUUCGAGCGUCAUUACACCACUCAAGCUAUGCUUGGUAUUGGGUGCCGUCCUUAGUUGGGCGCGCCUUAAAGACCUCGGCGAGGCCUCACCGGCUUUAGGCGUAGUAGAAUUUAUUCGAACGUCUGUCAAAGGAGAGGACUUCUGCCGACUGAAACCUUUUAUUUUUCUAGGUUGACCUCGGAUCAGGUAGGGAUACCCGCUGAACUUAAGCAUAUCAAUAAGCGGAGGA